UCCUGGUGUAGCGGUGAAAUGCGCAGAUAUCAGGAGGAACACCGGUGGCGAGAGGCGGGUCUCUGGGCAACAACUGACGUGAGGAGCGAAAGCGUGGGGAGCGAACAGGAUUAGAUACCCUGUAGUCCACGCCGUAAACGUUGGGCGCUAGGUGUGGGGCUCAUUCCACGAGUUCCGUGCCGCAGCUAACGCAUUAAGCGCCCCGCCUGGGGAGUACGGCCGCAAGGCUAAAACUCAAAGGAAUUGACGGGGGCCCGCACAAGCGGCGGAGCAUGUUGCUUAAUUCGAUGCAACGCGAAGAACCUUACCUAGGCUUGACAUGCACGGAAAUCUUUCAGAGAUGGAAGGUCCGUAAGGGCCGUGCACAGGUGGUGCAUGGUUGUCGUCAGCUCGUGUCGUGAGAUGUUGGGUUAAGUCCCGCAACGAGCGCAACCCUCGUCCUAUGUUGCCAGCACGUGAUGGUGGGGACUCAUAGGAGACUGCCGGGGUCAACUCGGAGGAAGGUGGGGAUGACGUCAAAUCAUCAUGCCCCUUAUGUCUAGGGCUGCAAACAUGCUACAAUGGCCGGUACAAAGGGCUGCGAUACCGCAAGGUGGAGCGAAUCGGAAAAAGCCGGUCUCAGUUCGGAUUGGGGUCUGCAACUCGACCCCAUGAAGUUGGAGUCGCUAGUAAUCGCAGAUCAGCAACGCCGCGGUGAAUACGUUCCCGGG
This 710-nucleotide ribosomal RNA is filed under the name uncultured bacterium. RNAcentral's name for it is "bacterial SSU rRNA". It matches the Rfam family "Bacterial small subunit ribosomal RNA", at positions 668 to 1378 of the family's 1533-position model. The record is from RNAcentral.